RNAcentral lists this long non-coding RNA (876 nucleotides) under Chinchilla lanigera (long-tailed chinchilla). RNAcentral describes it as "lncRNA (ENSCLAG00000024120.1)". The record is from RNAcentral. Lineage: Eukaryota; Metazoa; Chordata; Mammalia; Rodentia; Chinchillidae.
CGACCAGCAAGGGCCCUGGAGCAGUGCGGAGGAAACGGCCUCUGUCAUGCGGACUCCGGGCUGAGCUUGCUCUUUCUGGUUCCUGACCUUGUGGACUGUGAGGACCCCGGGAGCCUUCGGAAAGGUCACGUGGAUCCCCUCGUCUUUCUGCUCUCAAGGCCUGACUUUCCUUGGUGUCUGCUGAAUCCUACUAGUGUCUGUCUUGAGCGCCUACAGCGUGCCAGGCACCCGACGAGCACUGCCGCAUUUAACCCUGAACAAUCCCAUGAGGCCGUUGCUAGGGCAGAUGAGGAAACCGCGGAGGACAGGGCCAUCUCUUGCCCAGAGGCACACAGCUAGAGCGACAGGCUCAGAGCCAGACAUCAGCCACCAUGGGCCACCUCUGCCCCCGCUGCCGGUGGCGACCUGGCUCAGACUCCUCCGAGGGCUUCUCUCCUGCCGCCCGCUGCGACCCUGGGCAAAGCACAGAGGGUUCCAUUUUCACAGAAGUCCCCAGUGUGGCGGCUUCUUUUUGGGACCUGCUGACUGGGCUCCUAAUGUGCUCAGAGGCCCUUUCCAGGUCCCUCCUCCCGCUUCCAAACCCAAGGAGCUGUUCAAGUGUUCGUCUUCCUCCCGCCGCGGGUGCAUACUGCCAGAAAAGGCGAGAAGGAAAACUGACAUUUGAAGGAUGAGAAAUCCAUUCUGGUAGGCUGAAACAGGAAGAUCUCAAGUUUGAGCCCAACCUGGACAACACUGGAAUUUAGUAAGAUCCUGUUUCAAAAUUUUUUUAAAAAAAUGUUUAAAAGUCUGGGCAUAUAGCCCAGUGUGAAGGCCGUGGGUUCCAUCCCCAGUACAACAACUAAAUAAAUAAGUAAAUGAAAUUAAAAUAAAAGGGAU